AGAGUUUGAUCCUGGCUCAGGAUGAACGCUAGCGACAGGCUUAACACAUGCAAGUCGAGGGGCAGCACGGGAGUAGCAAUACAACUGGUGGCGACCGGCGCACGGGUGAGUAACGCGUAUGCAACCUACCUAUCAGAGGGGAAUAACCCGGCGAAAGUCGGACUAAUACCGCAUAAAACAGGGGCACCGCAUGGUGAUAUUUGUUAAAGAAAUUCGCUGAUAGAUGGGCAUGCGUUCCAUUAGGUAGUUGGUGARGUAACGGCUCACCAAGCCGAMGAWGGAUAGGGGAACUGAGAGGUUGGUCCCCCACACUGGUACUGAGACACGGACCAGACUCCUACGGGAGGCAGCAGUGAGGAAUAUUGGUCAAUGGGCGGGAGCCUGAACCAGCCAAGUCGCGUGAAGGAAGAAGGAUCUAUGGUUCGUAAACUUYYUUUUGCARGGGAAUAAAGUGCAGGACGUGUYCUGUUUUGUAUGUACCCUGAGAAUAAGAUCGGCUAAMUYCSUGCCAGCAGCSCGGUAAUACGGARGRWUCGAGCGUUAUCCGRWUUAUUGGGUUUAAGGGUGCGU
RNAcentral lists this ribosomal RNA (570 nucleotides) under uncultured Bacteroides sp. Its description in RNAcentral is "partial 16S rRNA". It matches the Rfam family "Bacterial small subunit ribosomal RNA", at positions 8 to 572 of the family's 1533-position model. The record is from RNAcentral. Lineage: Bacteria; Pseudomonadati; Bacteroidota; Bacteroidia; Bacteroidales; Bacteroidaceae.